UGAACGCUGGCGGCAGCCUAACACAUGCAAGUCGAGCGGAAACGAAGAGGUGCUUGCACCUCUGGCGUCGAGCGGCGGACGGGUGAGUAAUGCUUGGGAAUAUGCCUUAUGGUGGGGGACAACAGUUGGAAACGACUGCUAAUACCGCAUGAUGUCUACGGACCAAAGUGGGGGACCUUCGGGCCUCACGCCAUAAGAUUAGCCCAAGUGGGAUUAGCUAGUUGGUGAGGUAAUGGCUCACCAAGGCUACGAUCCCUAGCUGGUUUGAGAGGAUGAUCAGCCACACUGGGACUGAGACACGGCCCAGACUCCUACGGGAGGCAGCAGUGGGGAAUAUUGCACAAUGGGCGCAAGCCUGAUGCAGCCAUGCCGCGUGUGUGAAGAAGGCCUUCGGGUUGUAAAGCACUUUCAGUAAGGAGGAAAGGUUAAGUGUUAAUAGCACUUAGCUGUGACGUUACUUACAGAAGAAGCACCGGCUAACUCCGUGCCAGCAGCCGCGGUAAUACGGAGGGUGCGAGCGUUAAUCGGAAUUACUGGGCGUAUAGCGUACGCAGGCGGUUUGUUAAGCGAGAUGUGAAAGCCCCGGGCUCAACCUGGGAACUGCAUUUCGAACUGGUAAACU
RNAcentral lists this ribosomal RNA (622 nucleotides) under uncultured bacterium. RNAcentral's name for it is "bacterial SSU rRNA". It matches the Rfam family "Bacterial small subunit ribosomal RNA", at positions 30 to 642 of the family's 1533-position model. The record is from RNAcentral.